RNAcentral lists this ribosomal RNA (39 nucleotides) under Rhizopus arrhizus. Its description in RNAcentral is "Rhizopus oryzae partial 28S ribosomal RNA". The record is from RNAcentral. RNAcentral also lists the same sequence under 2 other names. Lineage: Eukaryota; Fungi; Mucoromycota; Mucoromycetes; Mucorales; Rhizopodaceae.
GAUUACCCGCUGAACUUAAGCAUAUCAAUAAGCGGAGGA